CUACGGGAGGCAGCAGUGAGGAAUAUUGGACAAUGGGCGCAAGCCUGAUCCAGCCAUGCCGCGUGCAGGAAGAAGGUCCUAUGGAUUGUAAACUGCUUUUGUACAGGAAGAAACACUCCCUCGUGAGGGAGCUUGACGGUACCGUAAGAAUAAGGAUCGGCUAACUCCGUGCCAGCAG
RNAcentral lists this ribosomal RNA (178 nucleotides) under uncultured Flavobacterium sp. Its description in RNAcentral is "16S ribosomal RNA". It matches the Rfam family "Bacterial small subunit ribosomal RNA", at positions 339 to 514 of the family's 1533-position model. The record is from RNAcentral. Lineage: Bacteria; Pseudomonadati; Bacteroidota; Flavobacteriia; Flavobacteriales; Flavobacteriaceae.